AGUCUGUAGUUUGGGAGCUGCGCAGAGUUGGUGGCAUUCUAGGGCACACAGGAUUUAUAGUAAAAAUAUCCUCUGAAGAAAGCAGAGUAAGACUGACCAAAUCCCAGCCAACUCAUGUGCAAUUUUCUUCAUAUAGUUCCUGGGCACUGCUGCUAUGACAAUAAUGAGGGGGUAGCAUAUCUUAAUAGGAGAAACUCCAAAAUUGGGAAAUUGUCUGCAGGAAUGAAUGGACUAUGAUCUGUUGGACACGAAGCACUACUACAGAU
Molecule: non-coding RNA, 266 nt
Organism: Suncus etruscus (white-toothed pygmy shrew)
Lineage: Eukaryota; Metazoa; Chordata; Mammalia; Eulipotyphla; Soricidae
Source: RefSeq, a predicted model, not a curated record